RNAcentral lists this ribosomal RNA (425 nucleotides) under bacterium gwi16. Its description in RNAcentral is "bacterial SSU rRNA". It matches the Rfam family "Bacterial small subunit ribosomal RNA", at positions 35 to 506 of the family's 1533-position model. The record is from RNAcentral.
GCUGGCGGCAUGCCUAACACAUGCAAGUCGAACUAGACCUUCGGGUAUAGUGGCGCACGGGUGCGUAACGCGUGGGAACCUGCCUUUAGGUUCGGAAUAACUCCCCGAAAGGGGUGCUAAUACCGGAUAAUGUCUUCGGACCAAAGAUUUAUCGCCUUUAGAUGGGCCCGCGUUGGAUUAGCUAGUUGGUGGGGUAAAGGCCUACCAAGGCGGCGAUCCAUAGCUGGUCUGAGAGGAUGAUCAGCCACACUGGGACUGAGACACGGCCCAGACUCCUACGGGAGGCAGCAGUGGGGAAUAUUGGACAAUGGGCGAAAGCCUGAUCCAGCAAUGCCGCGUGAGUGAUGAAGGCCUUAGGGUUGUAAAGCUCUUUUACCAGGGAUGAUAAUGACAGUACCUGGAGAAUAAGCUCCGGCUAAGCCCGU